RNAcentral lists this unclassified non-coding RNA (302 nucleotides) under uncultured Dothideomycetes. RNAcentral's name for it is "sequence contains ITS1". The stretch from base 1 to 105 matches the Rfam family "5.8S ribosomal RNA", at positions 50 to 154 of the family's 154-position model. Lineage: Eukaryota; Fungi; Ascomycota; Dothideomycetes. The record is from RNAcentral.
GAAAUGCGAUAAGUAGUGUGAAUUGCAGAAUUCAGUGAAUCAUCGAAUCUUUGAACGCACAUUGCGCCCCUUGGUAUUCCAUGGGGCAUGCCUGUUCGAGCGUCAUCUACACCCUCAAGCUCUGCUUGGUGUUGGGCGUCUGUCCCCGCCUCCGUGCGGAGACUCGCCUCAAAUUCAUUGGCAGCGGUCCUUGCCUCCUCUCGCGCAGCACAAUUGCUCUCGAGGUGUCGCGGCCCGCGUCCACGAAGCUGUUUUACACCGUCUUUGACCUCGGAUCAGGUAGGGAUACCCGCUGAACUUAA